UGCGAAGGGGGCUAGCGUUGUUCGGAAUUACUGGGCGUAAAGCGCGCGCAGGCGGCUAUCCAAGUCAGUGGUGAAAGCCCGGAGCUCAACUCCGGAACUGCCAUUGAAACUGUUUAGCUUGAGGACGAGAGAGGUGAGUGGAAUUCCCAGUGUAGAGGUGAAAGUCGUAGAUAUUGGGAAGAACACCGGUGGCGAAGGCGGCUCACUGGCUCGUAUCUGACACUCAGGCGCGACAGCGUGGGGAUCAAACAGG
RNAcentral lists this ribosomal RNA (253 nucleotides) under uncultured bacterium. RNAcentral describes it as "partial 16S ribosomal RNA". It matches the Rfam family "Bacterial small subunit ribosomal RNA", at positions 524 to 776 of the family's 1533-position model. The record is from RNAcentral.